This 492-nucleotide ribosomal RNA is filed under the name uncultured bacterium. RNAcentral describes it as "partial 16S ribosomal RNA". It matches the Rfam family "Bacterial small subunit ribosomal RNA", at positions 29 to 507 of the family's 1533-position model. The record is from RNAcentral.
AGUGAACGCUGGCGGUAGGCCUAACACAUGCAAGUCGAACGGCAGCACAGUAAGAGCUUGCUCUUACGGGUGGCGAGUGGCGGACGGGUGAGGCAUACAUCGGAAUCUACUUUUUCGUGGGGGAUAACGUAGGGAAACUGACGCUAAUACCGCAUACGUCCUACGGGUGGGAUCAGGAGAGCUUCGGACCUUGCGCGAUUGAAUUAGCCGAUUUCGGAUUAGCUAGUUGGCUGGGUAAAGGCACACCAAGGCGACGAUCCGUAGCUGGUCUGAGAGGAUGAUCAGCCACACUGGAACUGAGACACGGUCCAGACUCCUACGGGAGGCAGCAGUGGGGAAUAUUGGACAAUGGGCGAAAGCCUGAUCCAGCCAUACCGCGUGAGUGAAGAAGGCCUUCGGGUUGUAAAGCCCUUUUGUUGGGAAAGAAAAGCAGCAGGUUAAUACCCCGCUGUUCUGACGGUACCCAAAGAAUAAGCACCGGCUAACUUCGUG